GCGUUGUGGGGUCGCAGAGAAUAGAGGGAAGCGACUGUUUAUCAAAAACACAGGUCCAUGCGAAGACGUUAAGUUGAUGUAUAUGGACUGACGCCUGCCCGGUGCUGGAAGGUUAAGAGGACCGGUUAAUCAAGCUUUGCUUGGUGAAGCUGAGAAUUUAAGCCCCAGUAAACGGCGGUGGUAACUAUAACCAUCCUAAGGUAGCGAAAUUCCUUGUCGGGUAAGUUCCGACCUGCACGAAUGGCGUAACGACUUCCCUGCUGUCUCAACCACAGGCCCGGUGAAAUUGCACUACGAGUAAAGAUGCUCGUUACGCGCGGCAGGACGAAAAGACCCCGGGACCUUCACUAUAGCUUGGUAUUGGUGUUCGGUUCGGUUUGUGU
RNAcentral lists this ribosomal RNA (383 nucleotides) under Corynebacterium striatum. RNAcentral's name for it is "partial 23S ribosomal RNA". It matches the Rfam family "Bacterial large subunit ribosomal RNA", at positions 1766 to 2139 of the family's 2925-position model. Lineage: Bacteria; Bacillati; Actinomycetota; Actinomycetes; Mycobacteriales; Corynebacteriaceae. The record is from RNAcentral.